RNAcentral lists this unclassified non-coding RNA (1822 nucleotides) under Hevea brasiliensis (rubber tree). Lineage: Eukaryota; Viridiplantae; Streptophyta; Magnoliopsida; Malpighiales; Euphorbiaceae. The record is from RNAcentral.
GGGGGGGUGGUGGGGGGGCGGCGUGGGUGGGAGGGGAAGGGAAAGGAGGUUCAGAAAUCAACUUGCAUCAAGUAUUCUCAAGUGAACAGGUACCAAGGGGAUAACUAAGCAGUAUAACUCAACUUCAAUUAAUUGGUCUUAAAGUUUGAAUUCAAUGGAGUGGGUUGAAGGCUCAUGUAGAAGAGAAGAGUUGCCCCUAUUGAUGGACCAAACAAAAUCUAGAAUAAACACCUAAUCAAAUUCUAAAAUUUUGAUCUGCAUAUAAUCUAGACUUACAACCCACUACAACAGUCUAUUUGCAAGUUUAGAAAGUUCAAGAGCUAAGUUGUCAGUGCACAACCUCUAAAAGAAUCAAGAAGAACAUCCUCAUUCAGAUUAUGACCUAUGAAAACUAUUUUGUUCAUUUGAUUUUCUGAUCCUUCCCAUUUGCGAGCUGGAACAAUAUCAUAUAUCUCCCUCACAGCCUGCAAAGUAUGUAGUUCAUCAGAGUUUUGAACCCUUAAAAUCCCUUUGCAUCGGUAUACAUCCAUGCCAUCUUUCUUAUCCCAUAGAAUCUCCUCAAGCCAUAAACGAACCUUAUCAAGAUCAACCUGCUGCGAAUCACAAAUGCAAACAGUUCGCACACCACCAUCAUGAAGAUGUCUGGUAGAUAGCGACUUGCUUUCUUCCAACAAUGCUUCCAAAUGAGUAGCAUGAGUUGCAUCAUAUGCCUGACAGUUCAAUAUUUUGGACAAAUCAACUUCACACCUAACAGAAUGAAUGAUAUUGGUGAGGGAGUUAAUGUUAUGUAUCUCCUUCUCCAAUUCCUCCAAGAUCUCUGAAGAAACCAAAUCAACCUUGUUAAGAAUAACAACAUCCGCAAAUGCUAUUUGAAGAAAAGCUUCAGGAAAUGAAGAUGAGUCACGAUGCUUGUUGAGCUGAAAAGGUAGAUUUUUGGCAUCCACAACAGUGAUUAUAGAAUCAAGCUUAACAGACGAUUCCAACUGAUCAUCCAACCAAAGAACAGAAGCAAGCGGAGCGGGAUUUGCUAACCCUGUGGUCUCGAUUAUUAUAUGAUCAAGUCUACUGAAAGCAAAACAAUAAUUCACUAAAGGUUAAUUACUUCUACUAGUCUACCGCAUUUAAUCAUUAAGGAUUUUCUUGGUAAACUGUCUACUUGCUACUAAAUUGGCUACUGAGUGAUACUCUUAGAGAUAGAGGAAGAGAUCAAUUGUCCCAUUAAAGGUGCAGCUUUGAUCUUUUUGAAAGCAUGUUCUGUAUAUUUUCUAUAGCAACAAUGGUGAAGGACAUUAUGAAAACAGUGAAAAAAUCAGAAACAUCAAAAAUGCUUCCCAUUUCAACAAUAUAAUCCAGCAAGUAUCCUCUCUAAAACUAAUAUAUGUGUAAAGAUAAAAUUUACAAAAGCAGCACCUUUCCUUCAUCUGUACAAGUUGCUCCAGUGCUUGAACUAAACUAUGCUUAACUGUGCAACAAAUACACCCAUUUGCCAGCUCAACCCAUUCUUCAACAAGUGCACCACCUUCUCCUUCAUUUAUCAUGGCCCUUUCAACUCCAAUCUCUUCCCCAAACUCAUUCAAAAUGACAGCAAUCCUCUUUCCAUGUUGAGAAUUCAAGAUAUGGUUAACAAGAGUGGAUUUGCCAGCACCGAGAUAGCCCGUGAUGACGGUCACCCCAACGGAAACGUCAUCCGUUUGAGGUCGUUUUGAAUCGGAUUGCGAGUGGUAAUAAGAUUGUUGCCCAGUUUGAUCGAUUUCAACUGCGACAGGUGGAUCGUCUACUUCUUUCUCCAUUUUCAAUCACUUCCUUCUUGCCCUGACUCCAC